Dipodomys ordii (Ord's kangaroo rat) is the source of this 72-nucleotide non-coding RNA. NCBI's taxonomy places the organism in Eukaryota, Metazoa, Chordata, Mammalia, Rodentia, Heteromyidae. The record is from Rfam.
GGGAAGGUGGCUCAGUGGUAGAGUGCUUGCCUUGUAUGCAUGAGGCCCUGGGUUUGACUCCUCACCACCACA